This 321-nucleotide ribosomal RNA is filed under the name Triticum aestivum (bread wheat). Its description in RNAcentral is "partial small subunit ribosomal RNA". Lineage: Eukaryota; Viridiplantae; Streptophyta; Magnoliopsida; Poales; Poaceae. The record is from RNAcentral.
AUGCGAACAACAAAAUCUAUGCCACAACUCUUUUCAGUACAUCUAUGGUACCACUCAAAGGUGUCCUCAUUUCGGGAUAGUAAGUCCGAUGACAAGAGAUUCUACAUAUUUUCUCCCACAAAGGCACUUAAGUUGAAGACAUGUUCAAAAGAUGACCGUGUCUCUGUGGUCGAGGCCUUGGUCUUGGUCAGGAGUGUUUAUUCGCUCAGGUUGCUUAGUGGAAGAAUAACUUUGGUGCAUAGUGACAUUUCUAUUUUGACUGCAAGGAAUCAAAAUCGGAUGCACCAGGAGGCUUUAAACGAGAGUCUUAUACAGGAUUGA